Molecule: long non-coding RNA, 578 nt
Organism: Halichondria panicea
Lineage: Eukaryota; Metazoa; Porifera; Demospongiae; Suberitida; Halichondriidae
Exons: 2
Source: RefSeq, a predicted model, not a curated record
UCGUGUCUUCACUCCUCUGAGAAGAGGGAUUGGAAACCGAAGUACCCUCGAAGUACCAUCCGUGUAUCUCCGCGGUUUUAAUCGAGGCUUACUUUUUAACACGAGGGCUAAACAUGAAUAAUUCAUGAGAAUUGUUUUGCUCUCUGUGUAAGAAGUCCACGAGCAGUUCUGCUGCUAAACAUCAACUUUCUCUAAUACUUGAGGCCAUUUGGGACACACAGGACACUAUUUGGUUACAAAGCCUUAGCUAUAUCAAAGGCAAACCAGAAAAACUUUACUGCACUGGAUUUGGUCAAGCGAAUGCAGAGAUACAGCGUUUUGAAGAACAUUAGCCAGGGAAAAAUUCGUACAAAAAUUUACUGCAUUUUAAUGUACUUGGGCGGGACUUAUGAAAUUUGUUGUUAAUACCGGAAAUGAUCUUAAAGUUAGCAUAUCUGCUGAACCGCUUGGUCUAUUCUCUUUUAAAAAGUAUGAAAUGGACACUCAGGACUCAGGAGUUAACAUUGUAACCAUUUGAUAUCUAUUAUGAAGUUUAUAAUGUUUCUGUAAUGUAUAUCUUUAUGAUGUCCCUAUAAUAG